Molecule: ribosomal RNA, 484 nt
Filed under: uncultured bacterium
Lineage: Bacteria
Description: partial 16S ribosomal RNA
Rfam family: Bacterial small subunit ribosomal RNA
Source: RNAcentral
AUUGAACGCUGGCGGCAGGCCUAACACAUGCAAGUCGAGCGGAUGAAGGGAGCUUGCUCCUGGAUUCAGCGGCGGACGGGUGAGUAAUGCCUAGGAAUCUGCCUGGUAGUGGGGGAUAACGUCCGGAAACGGGCGCUAAUACCGCAUACGUCCUGAGGGAGAAAGUGGGGGAUCUUCGGACCUCACGCUAUCAGAUGAGCCUAGGUCGGAUUAGCUAGUUGGUGGGGUAAAGGCCUACCAAGGCGACGAUCCGUAACUGGUCUGAGAGGAUGAUCAGUCACACUGGAACUGAGAAACGGUCCAGACUCCUACGGGAGGCAGCAGUGGGGAAUAUUGGACAAUGGGCGAAAGCCUGAUCCAGCCAUGCCGCGUGUGGGAAGAAGGUCUUCGGAUUGUAAAGCACUUUAAGUUGGGAGGAAGGGCAGUAAGUUAAUACCUUGCUGUUUUGACGUUACCAACAGAAUAAGCACCGGCUAACUUCGUG